UUUUUUUUUUUCAUAUUAUAGUAGCUUUUUACUUUUAAAGUGCACUUUUAAUUCUCACUGUAAAUGACUGGUCUAUAUUUUCUACUAAUUCUUUCAAGGACAUCGAUGGUCCUGUUUGCUGUUUUUCUUUUGAGGUGGCAGCACUCCCUAAAGGUCUUAUUAUUUUGGCCCAUUAGUGACUAUCUGUGUUAGUGUCAUGUGUGUAAAGAGAAAGAAGGGCCAGCUGGAGUCCUAGUCCAGCACAAAACCACAGUCACUACCCUUUGGGUGUCACUUCAGGUCAGGGCUUCAGAGUGGGAGCACUAGGAGACACUGCUAGCUGGGAUGGUGGAGGAGGCAAUGACUAGGGCAGUCCCCAGCUCCUCCCACUCCAGCAGGAUUUCAGCUUGGAUUUUCUCACCCACCCCUCAACAGCUGGACAGGCAAUCAGGAUCUUGCCAUCGUUUUUCGCAGCAGGGAGCAGACAGUGAUUGCUCAAGGCCAACACUGGGGAGGCAAGAGCAGAAGCUUCCAGGAACCUUCUCAUAGCCACAGCCAGCAAGUAACCCAGUUCAAAACACCUUUCAGUCUCACCAGGGCUAACUCAUUAUUGGUUUUCUUGGAAUGUAUAUGUAUGGCCCACAUUCCCUCCUAGAUGGAAAGGGCCUGUAAGAAGGGAUCAUGGUUUAUUGAAUCUUGGUUACACAAUCUUCCUUUCCCCCCUAAAUGCUAGCACAUUAUUAAAUAAAUAAGCCAAUGAUAACAAAUAAAAGUAAAUAAAGUGGAUAACACUGGCUCCAGGGAGAGGUACUGUUAUUGGGAUUAGAGUCUAAUAAUGGGGCAAACAUAGGUUCAACAAAAACGUACUAAAAUGUCCUUUAAAAAUGACACAAGACUGGGUGCGUGGCUCAGUGCUGUCACCAGAAUGUCUGAUAAUUCCUGGACAGAUAGAGAAGUGGUGCAAAUGUGUGCUUACAUAUGGAGUUGAUGUCAUCUCCUGCACCAGCCUCCUGCCCUGGGCAGACUGUUGUGGUCAUUUGGGGGAGCUCCCUAGCACAGCAGAUUUCUUGUUGGCCAUCACUUUUCAAACUCUGGACUUCUGUCCUUUGGCUGGGAACUGCUCACUUCCCUUAGAACUUUCCCCUCCCCUCUCCUGACUUCUCUAAAUCCCAGAGCUCCAACCUCUACCUCCUGGAAAAUUCUAAGCUAAAAUCACUCUUCCUUUGUAUCUGCAGAUAGGUUGAAAUUUAUACAUUAAAACUUAUUUGUGAAAAGAAAAGUAACUUUAAAAAUAUAUAACUGGUCUCAUUACACUCUGGAGCAACAGUUCCAAAUGAUGGUAGGAAAACCCCAGAAUUGGCCAUCAAAAGGCAUAGAUCCAGCCCUUCCGGUUUAAAAGAGGUAUUUUUGAAAAACUUCAAAUCUCUUUUGGGAAAGGCGGAAUCUUUCAUGGUUUCUUCUCCUUCCCCUCUCCCUCCCCGUUUUGGGAAUGACAUCCUGGGGCAGAGGAUGAACUUACAGAGCGUGCUGGCCGUGGGAAGCCGGGUCUAGGUGGCAUUUUUUUUCUCUCUUUUCUGAUGGUUCUCUGCCACCAGUUCCUUGGCCUCUCCCCAUCAAUUGCCAACAUUUCCAUGGCUGGUUUAAUCUGUGAUUGAUUAUCCCUGGUGAAGGCAAUGGGGCUCAGCCACCUUGGCUGCUGGUAGCCCCAGCAUGGCUCUGCUCCUACUCACAUCCUUCCAGUUUGCUGGGGCUGCAGCCUGAUCCUGGGCCCGUGUGGUCUGGGCUGUGGCCCCUGGCUCCAGGCCAGUUCUACCAUCUCCAUGACCAUCCUGAAAACCAAUUUACUGCACAUUAACUCACUAAAAUCAACCCAUCAACUAAUCAGAAAUUAAUACAUCAAAUCAUCAAUUCUCCAAUUUUAUCAAUAUGCCAAAAACUUUACUUUAAAGACUUUGUCCUUUUAUGUUGAAUUGAAUGGUUUUUACAGCUUUUGAAGACUUCUGAAAAUGUUUGGUUAAUUUGCUUUUCCUUUUGUUUUCAUAGUACCUUAUAAAUAAUGUUCAAUUUGUCAGAUGUUGGGGAUACAGGAAGAAGAUGGUAAUGGUGACAGAGUGUUUUUCAUCUUCCCAAGUGUCCCCACAAAAACAGAGAGUGCAAUUGGGAUAGCAAAGGAUAAUACCCACAGACGGUGUCUCUUUAUCAGACCAGGGACAUCCCUAGAAGAUCCCACGAGACUCUAGGAUGUGUGUGGGUAGAUCCAAGCUGUAGAUCCAAGGUAGAUCCUGUGGGCUCUAGUGCCAUGUGGAGGUAGCAGAGGGUUGAAAGGAGAGGGUUCUGGUGUUUCUAAGAUCUUGGGAACACGGAAGUGGCCAGUGCGUGCCCACCUCCCGAAAGAGGUGAUCUCAGUCUAGAAUGAAUCCUCAGCAGAGAGCUCUAAGGACCUAGACUUUUGUAAAUUUAGAAACUCCCUUUUCUCUUACCAAUGUCUAAUUUUUAAGACUAUGACUUUGAUAUGGCUGUCAAUAUUCUGUUUUGGAAUAUUGUUUGCUUUUGGUCUUCUGUGAUAAAAAUCCAAAUUUUCCCCUGGGUGAAUAGGCAUAAGGUCACAUCUAAAGAAAUGCAAAAGGAAAACAUUAAGAACUCUAGUAAAUUAAUGUUUUUAUAAUAACAUAUAUCCCCAUAUAUUUCACAGAAACAUGUAACUUCUGUCUAUAUGAGCUUUGAGUAUUUCAUUUAUAAUGAAGUGGCACAUUAAUGUGUUUUUCUAAAUCAAAAGUCAAUUUCCUCCUUGAGAUUAAUUACAUCUCCAGAAUAUUAAAGCAGCUUCUGACACCAUGUAUUUGAAACAGCAAUUUCCCGUUUUUACUAUAAGAAGAAUAAAUAAAUUGUUGUGUAAUACACAAAAGGGAAUUCUUAAUUCUGUCCUCGGUAGGAGAAGCUAGAGAGAAGAUGACAUUUGAACUGUGCCAUGGAGGAUAAAUAUGAGUUUACUGAUGCGGAGAAGAGGAUGAGAGCCUUGCAAGGAGAGAAGACGGCCUGGGCAAAGGCACAGAGGCCUCAAAGCAUAUGGUAGGCAGGGGACUGCUGCGUGGCCAAGGAGAUGAGGAGCUGGAGGAGACGAGGCUUAGAAAACAGGCUGGUGUCAAAUUGUGAAAGCCACAGAUGUCCUGCUAAAGUAAUAGGGUUGUGCCUUAUCUAUGGUUAAUGGCAAGCAGGCACAGUUUUUGUUUUGGAGCCAGGUGAAAGCAGGAUUGACUUGAAUUGAUAGAAAGAGAAAAGAGGCAGCAAACCAUUUAACUGACUAAUCGAUCAAUUAAUUAAUUAUCCCAGUCUCCUUGUGAAAGUUCCAAACCUUCUCACUCUCCGCUCACUCCACAUUCAGUUCUACACAGCAACAGGAAUUCAUUGCCUCUUACUUCAAGAAAAUUAGUCAGGCACGUCCUUCAUCAGCGACAUUCUGACCAUUCUGAGACCCUGGUUUCCCUUUUUUCUUCUUCCUCAAGUCUCAGAGGCUGGGGCUCUUCCUGCUCCAGGCUAACCCUGACCUCCACCUGUGCCCUCAAAACCUUCACUGCUGCCUCCACCGGGAGCUUGUCUCAGCCGUCCUCCCCUCCAUCUCUCUGUUAACUCUGUUCAGUCUCUUGCUACGAGAUCCUUCUCCUCAGUCUAGAAUUUAGGCUCAAAUCUUCCUUGUCCUCAAUGCUCUUCUCGUCUCCCUAGCUUCCACCCCAUCUCUCUUCUUUACUCUUCCCAGGUUCCUUAAAGAAAAUGCUACACUUCUGUGUUUCCUUUCUCCCCUCCCACGCAUUCUCAGCCCCAUCACAGUCUGACUUCCUUGUCCAUGAGCUCGAUGGGACAGAAAUUGAUUGCUAAGGUCAUCAAAUCUUUAUCUUGGUGGAUUUCUUUGCUGCUUUCAUCACAGUGGAUCAUUCUGCUUUCUUGACUUCUCUCUUUAUUCAGAUUUCAAGACAUCACACUCCUCUGGUUUUCUUGACACCAUUCAGAUCAUUCAUUCUGGAGCUUCUGCUCUUCUGGGAAUCCAUAAAUGCAGGGUCUCUCUAGGGAUCUGUCCCCAGCUAACAAUGUCUCCUCGAUCAAACAUUCAUUUGUAUAGCUUCAAUUCUUUUUUGUUGUUGUUGUUUUGUUUUGUUUUGAGAUGGAGUCUUGCUCUGUCGCCAGGCUGAGUGCAGUGGUGCGAUCUCGGCUCACUGCAACCUCCGACUCCCGGAUUCAAGUGAUUUUCCUGCCUCAGCCUCCUGAGUAGUUGGGAUUACAGCUGCGUGCCACCACACACCCAGCUAAUUUUUGUAUUUUUAGUAAAGACGGGAUUUCACCAUGCGGCCAGGAUGGUCUCGAUCUCCUGACCUCGUGAUCCGCCGCCUCGGCCUCCCAAAGUGCUGGGAUUACAGGCAUGAGCCACUGCGCCUGGCCUGUAUAGCUUCAAUUCUUAGUCAUCUAAUUAUGUCUAACAUAGUAAAGGACAACCCUUGGCGACUACCAGGUGCUUAGUAGCUGUCACAUCCUUUCUUCUCCCCCGACCUUUUGAAUACAGCAACCUGGUCUUCUAUUAAUGGAGAGCAAAAUCUAACCAUUCCACCUUCUCUCUCCUUAGGACCACAGUUUUAUUCUUCUAGGUAUCUCUACUUUCUCUAACAUUAAUCCACCUCUUUUUCCAUUUCCGUACACUCACUUUCCUGCUUUGGCUGUCUUCAUCUGAUCAAAAUGAAAAAUUAAAAGAUAUUUGAAUGUUUUUGUGUAAUAGCUAAUCUAUUACAAAAUGUUUAUAUUCUUAGGCAUGCAGUUUUAUUAUGCAAUCACAAAUGGCUUUGUACGUUUGACUUUUCUCAAAACCAAAAAUCAGUUUUUAAAAUUGCUUUUUACUUACGUGGUGCUUGCUUGAUGAAAACAAGCAACUAGAAAAAAACCGGUCUACUUCCUCUCAAACAGUGUCUCCAACUUUGUGACUUGCCUGGCUACCAGGCCCUUCUUGGGAAGUAGUCUGCCAGACACAAAUGACUCUCUCAGUUCCCACUGCCCAUUGGUCCACGAAGGAAUGGAGAACGUUGUCUUUGGAGAAGUAGGUGCUUACCGCAGAAACAGCCUUCCAUGAGAUUGCUUCAGUACUGCUUUCACUUUCCCGUCACAUGCAAA
RNAcentral lists this long non-coding RNA (5130 nucleotides) under Macaca fascicularis (crab-eating macaque). Its description in RNAcentral is "lncRNA (ENSMFAG00000040079.2)". The record is from RNAcentral. Lineage: Eukaryota; Metazoa; Chordata; Mammalia; Primates; Cercopithecidae.